RNAcentral lists this transfer RNA (64 nucleotides) under Henosepilachna vigintioctopunctata. Its description in RNAcentral is "tRNA-Phe". Lineage: Eukaryota; Metazoa; Arthropoda; Insecta; Coleoptera; Coccinellidae. The record is from RNAcentral.
AUUUAAAUAGCUUAAAAAGAGCAUAAUAUUGAAGAUAUUAAGGUAAUUGUAAAGUUUUUAAAUA